This 207-nucleotide ribosomal RNA is filed under the name uncultured bacterium. Its description in RNAcentral is "partial 16S ribosomal RNA". It matches the Rfam family "Bacterial small subunit ribosomal RNA", at positions 568 to 774 of the family's 1533-position model. The record is from RNAcentral.
GGUGUAGGUGGCUUUGUAAGUCAGAAGUGAAAGCCCUGGGCUCAACCCAGGAAGUGCUUUUGAUACUGCGAAGCUUGAGUGUGGGAGAGGAUGCUGGAAUUCCAGGUGUAGUGGUGAAAUACGUAGAUAUCUGGAGGAACACCGGUGGCGAAGGCGGGCAUCUGGCCCAACACUGACACUCAGACCCGAAAGCGUGGGGAUCAAACA